This is a long non-coding RNA of Engraulis encrasicolus (European anchovy), 1559 nucleotides long. RefSeq lists it as uncharacterized. The transcript is spliced from 5 exons. The record is from RefSeq and is a predicted model, not a curated record. Lineage: Eukaryota; Metazoa; Chordata; Actinopteri; Clupeiformes; Engraulidae.
AAAGUGACUAAUCUCGUUGGUUGAGGCAAUAUUGGUCAAAUUAACUGUGACAUUGGUAACUAUUAAACAAACAAAUUGGUUAUCUAACAACUAAUAUCAUUGGUUAAGAACAAAUUGGUUGAUUUAACAAAGAUAUUGGUUAACUUUAAUAACAGAUUGGUUGAAAAAUGACUAAUAUCAUUGGUUAAGCAAAUGUUAACUAAGAGAUUGGUAACUGACGCAGGUCUGACGCUCAACGUCAAGUACGUAACUCUGCUUCUCAAUUUUCUGACAAAGCCGCCAUCUUGGUGCUGCAGGAAAGCCGUUUGAGAUAUUGGUGGAAUUCAAACACUUUGUGAGAUGACAGAAUAUUGCUGAAGGAUCCUACAUGGAAGCUGGCUGAUUACACGGAGUGAUUCCUCUGGUGUGGUGUACCUCAGAGAAAUAAACACUGUUGCAAGAGCUGAGAAGAUGGCCAAGAUAUCCUUAUUGCUGGAUGGUAGCUCUGGUCGUAGUGGACCAUAUCUGCAAAUGCUUCUGAACAUUGACAGAAUUUCUAAAGAUGACUGAGAAUAUUACUGAAGGAUCCUACAUGGAAGCUGUCUGAUUACACUGAGUGAUUCCUCUGGUGUGGUGUACCUCAGAGAAAAUAAACACUGUUGCAAGAGGUGAGAAGAUAUCCUUAUUGCUGGAUGGUUGCUCUCUGGUCGUACUUGAGCCCCCUGGACCAUGUCUGCAAAUGCUUCUGAACAUUGACAGAAUUUCUAAAGGUUAGCAACCAUUCACAAAUGUACACCACAUGUAUGUGUGUUUCAAAUGUCUUAACAGUUUGAACGACACACUGUUAAUCAGAGAUGCAUCCUGUUCAUCUUUUGUGUUAUUUUGAGAGGAUAGGUCGCCAGCGACCCUAUUCACUUGCUGAAAAUGCUUAAACACAUAAAACAACAUUGCUAUGACAUUACAUAGAGCCAUAACGCUGCACUACAGGGUUAAGGAUGGCAGCUGCCUGGUUACAGUACAUUGAUCCCCUUUGUAGCACCAUGUCUAAAAAUACUGGAAAAAAAACAGUUUCUAAAUGUACCGGUAAGCAAAUUUUAAUAAAUCUGCACCAAAUGUGUGUUUCAAAUGUCUACUAUCUAACAGUCUGAAUAACACACUCGUACACAGUGGUGGACAAAGUAAAAGUACUUUUGUGGUGUAAUUACAACAGUAGCACAUGAUAUUACAUAGCUGUUACACCGUUUGCUCCAGUAUACCUACCUAUUGAGAUAGACUGUGUUAUUACUGAAAAACAAUAAAAACCUAACAAGAACCCACCACAAACUCAAUCCAACCUGUGCAGAAUCAGCUCAUCGUAAGACAAGUACAUUGGUCUACUUUUUACUCAGAUAAGUUACCUGUGUUGGAAAGAAACUGUUUAAAAAAAAAAAAAAAAAACUUUUACUUUUACUUUGUCCACCACUGCUCAUACAUGACAUUACCAAUUGUUGUGUGCUCAGAGCGGCAGUUUACAAACGCACCCUUGGUGCCUUCUGCUGUUAGGCCUAUGACACUGAGCCCACCGUUUCAUUGAUUGGAGU